Molecule: ribosomal RNA, 490 nt
Filed under: uncultured bacterium
Lineage: Bacteria
Description: partial 16S ribosomal RNA
Rfam family: Bacterial small subunit ribosomal RNA
Source: RNAcentral
AUUGAACGCUGGCGGCAGGCCUAACACAUGCAAGUCGAACGGUAACAGGAAGAGGCUUGCUUCUUUGCUGACGAGUGGCGGACGGGUGAGUAAUGUCUGGGAAACUGCCUGAUGGAGGGGGAUAACUACUGGAAACGGUAGCUAAUACCGCAUAACGUCGCAAGACCAAAAAGGGGGACCUUCGGGCCUCUUGCCAUCGGAUGUGCCCAGAUGGGAUUAGCUAGUAGGUGGGGUAACGGCUCACCUAGGCGACGAUCCCUAGCUGGUCUGAGAGGAUGACCCGCCACACUGGAACUGAGACACGGUCCCAACUCCUACGGGAGGCAGCAGUUGGGAAUAUUGCACAAUGGGCGCAAGCCUGAUGCAGCCAUGCCGCGUGUAUGAAGAAGGCCUUCGGGUUGUAAAGUACUUUCAGCGGGGAGGAAGGGAGUAAAGUUAAUACCUUUGCUCAUUGACGUUACCCGCAGAAGAAGCACCGGCUAACUCCGUG